RNAcentral lists this long non-coding RNA (826 nucleotides) under Ictidomys tridecemlineatus (thirteen-lined ground squirrel). RNAcentral describes it as "lncRNA (ENSSTOG00000031104.1)". The record is from RNAcentral. Lineage: Eukaryota; Metazoa; Chordata; Mammalia; Rodentia; Sciuridae.
UAUUUUGAGCCAGGGUCUGGCUGAGUGGCUUAGGGCCUUGCUAAAUUGCUGAGGCUGGCUUUGAGCUUGCGAUCCUCCCGCCUCAGCCUCCCAAACUGCUGGGAUUAUAGGUGUGCACCAUCGGGCCUGGCUGGAAAUCUUGUUUUUGAAAAGAAGAGAUGACUGGUGUCUGAGCUGGGGAGAGGCGUUGAGCUCACCCCAUGUUCCGCUGCUCUUCUGGGAGCAGAGCUGUGCAUUUGCCGUGGGCAGACAGGAGCGCCCAUCGGAUGCCACCUCCUUGCAGUGCUUCCUGGGUCUCACCCUCUGGGCUUCUCACCCUACAGACGUUCACCGGAGCGCUCAGACCAGAUGCAACAGGACUGGAGAGAUGGAAAGUCCUUUCCUUACAGCUGUUUGUCGUGAACAGAGACAGUCACUGCCUGACCCUGCUGCCCCCAAACCAAAUGACACCCACCAAAGGGUUAAUUUCCGAACCCAACUGCUUCUCCCGGUCUAUGAGCUGGGGGUGGGAGUGGAGGCUCAGCGGGAGGCCCUGGCCCCACCUGCCUGAAGGGGUGGGCUGUCCACACCUGCUCCUAACCCAUACACAGCCCUCUCCGCUGCUCCUUGUUAUUUCCUUCCUCACCUCUGGACUCUUCUUCGGCACCUUGAAACCUCGUCUCGGGAGAACUCGGCUUUGACAGAAACCUCUCUGAAAUUAUUUUUCAUCCUGUUCUGACUUGUACUUGAAUAAUUCUCCAUCAACAGCACGUCUGAUUGAGUUGGCAUCACAAACCCUUUUGUAUGCUAUUUUUUUUCCCCUUCCUUCAAGAAAUAUUAAAGUCUG